Molecule: ribosomal RNA, 441 nt
Filed under: uncultured bacterium
Lineage: Bacteria
Description: partial 16S ribosomal RNA
Rfam family: Bacterial small subunit ribosomal RNA
Source: RNAcentral
CCUACGGGUGGCUGCAGUGGGGAAUAUUGCACAAUGGGGGAAACCCUGAUGCAGCAACGCCGCGUGAGUGAGGAAGUAUUUCGGUAUGUAAAGCUCUAUCAGCAGGGGAUUGAAAAGAAGGUACCUGAACAAGAAGCCCCGGCUAACUACGUGCCAGCAGCCGCGGUAAUACGUAGGGGGCAAGCGUUAUCCGGAUUUACUGGGUGUAAAGGGAGCGUAGACGGAAAGGGAAGUCAGAGGUGAAAGCCCAAGGCUCAACCAUGGGAUUGCAUUUGAAACUGUCAAACUAGAGUACAGUAGAGGUAAGCGGAAUUCCUAGUGUAGCGGUGAAAUGCGUAGAUAUCAGGAGGAACACCGGUGGCGAAGGCGUCUUACUGGACUGAAACUGACGUUGAGGCUCGAAAGUGUGGGGAGCAAACAGGAUUAGAUACCCCAGUAGUC